UCAGCAGCCGCGGUAAUUCCAGCUCCAAUAGCGUAUAUUAAAGUUGUUGAGGUUAAAAAGCUCGUAGUUGAACCUUGGGCCUAGCCGGCCGGUCCGCCUCACCGCGUGCACUGGCUCGGCUGGGCCUUUCCUUCUGGAGAACCGCAUGCCCUAAAAAAGAGUGUGCCGGGGAACCAGGACUUUUACUCUGAACAAAUUAGAUCGCUUAAAGAAGGCCUAUGCUCGAAUACAUUAGCAUGGAAUAAUAGAAUAGGACGUGUGGUUCUAUUUUGUUGGUUUCUAGGACCGCCGUAAUGAUUAAUAGGGACAGUCGGGGGCAUCAGUAUUCAAUUGUCAGAGGUGAAAUUCUUGGAUUUAUUGAAGACUAACUACUGCGAAAGCAUUUGCCAAGGAUGUUUUCAUUAAUCAGGAACGAAAGUUAGGGGAUCGAAGACGAUCAGAUACCGUCGUAGUCUUAACCAUAAACUAUGCCGAUUAGGCGAUCGGACGGCGUUAUUUUUUGACCCGUUCGGCACCUCUACGACAAAUCAAAAUGUUUGGGCUCCUGGGGGAGUAUGGUCGCAAGGCCUGAAACUUAAAGAAAUUGACGGAAGGGCACCACCAGGGGUGGAGCCUGCGGCUUAAUUUGACUCAACACGGG
This 640-nucleotide ribosomal RNA is filed under the name Chaetomium sp. Its description in RNAcentral is "SSU rRNA". It matches the Rfam family "Eukaryotic small subunit ribosomal RNA", at positions 567 to 1209 of the family's 1831-position model. The record is from RNAcentral. Lineage: Eukaryota; Fungi; Ascomycota; Sordariomycetes; Sordariales; Chaetomiaceae.